This 395-nucleotide ribosomal RNA is filed under the name uncultured bacterium. RNAcentral's name for it is "partial 16S ribosomal RNA". It matches the Rfam family "Bacterial small subunit ribosomal RNA", at positions 525 to 918 of the family's 1533-position model. The record is from RNAcentral.
ACGUAGGGGGCGAGCGUUGUCCGGAAUGAUUGGGCGUAAAGGGCGCGUAGGCGGCCUGUUAAGUCUGGAGUGAAAGUCCUGUUUUCAAGAUGGGAAUUGCUUUGGAUACUGAUGGGCUUGAGUGCAGGAGAGGUUAUCGGAAUUCCCGGUGUAGCGGUGAAAUGCGUAGAGAUCGGGAGGAACACCAGUGGCGAAGGCGGGUAACUGGACUGCAACUGACGCUGAGGCGCGAAAGUGUGGGGAGCAAACAGGAUUAGAUACCCUGGUAGUCCACACUGUAAACGAUGAAUGCUAGGUGUAGGGGGUAUCGACCCCUUCUGUGCCGCAGUCAACACAAUAAGCAUUCCGCCUGGGGAGUACGGCCGCAAGGUUGAAACUCAAAGGAAUUGACGGGG